RNAcentral lists this ribosomal RNA (460 nucleotides) under uncultured bacterium. Its description in RNAcentral is "partial 16S ribosomal RNA". It matches the Rfam family "Bacterial small subunit ribosomal RNA", at positions 338 to 795 of the family's 1533-position model. The record is from RNAcentral.
ACUACGGGAGGCAGCAGUGAGGAAUAUUGGUCAAUGGACGAGAGUCUGAACCAGCCAAGUAGCGUGAAGGAUGAAUGAGAGAUGGGUUGGAAAGGGAAGGAAGAGGGGAAGAAAAUGUUCCACGUGUGGGAUUUUGUAUGUACCAUAUGAAUAAGGAUCGGCUAACUACGUGCCAGCAGCCGCGGUAAUACGGAGGAUCCGAGCGUUAUCCGGAUUUAUUGGGUUUAAAGGGAGCGUAGGGGGAUAGUUAAGUCAGUUGUGAAAGUUUGCGGCUCAACCGUAAAAUUGCAGUUGAAACUGGCAGUCUUGAGUACAGUAGAGGUGAGCGGAAUUCGUGGUGUAGCGGUGAAAUGCUUAGAUAUCACGAAGAACUCCGAUUGCGAAGGCAGCUCACUGGACUGCAACUGACACUGAGGCUCGAAAGUGUGGGUAUCAAACCGGAUUAGAUACCCUAAUAGUC